This is a long non-coding RNA of Rhea pennata, 1648 nucleotides long. RefSeq lists it as uncharacterized. NCBI's taxonomy places the organism in Eukaryota, Metazoa, Chordata, Aves, Rheiformes, Rheidae. The transcript has 4 exons. The record is from RefSeq and is a predicted model, not a curated record.
GGGGCGGGGGGCGCUGACUGUGCCGCGCAUGCGCCCGCGGGCUGUGGGCGGUGCGCGUGACUGUGCGGCGCGAGGAGCAAUUUCUAAUCCUUAAAGCGGCCGUGGGGGCAGGAGGCGGCGGCGGCGGCGCUGCGGGGCCGAGAUUUGGUGCAGCUGUGCCCAUACCACUUCAUUAUUGCGCCUUGCAUAUAAAGGGCUUCCAGUGUGUGAAUGUGAGCAGACAAAACAAGCACGUAAUUUAAGAUGUCAAUGUGUGGACGACAAGUAGAGGGGCCUUUGGGAAACCUACGUCCCCCAAAACAUGAAUUAUUUUGCUUCUCUUCUGGACGAAAUUACCCAAUAGGAGAAAAAAAAAGAAAGAAAAACUGGCAACAAAACAUGCAUAUCCUUUGCAACAUUGUCUUUGCAAAGCUGGUCUGUUGGGUCAUGCGCAGAAAACAGCCAAGUGGUGAGACUGAGAUUGUAUUGACAAGAACAAGAUGAAUGACCCCCUGGAGACUAUGGGGUUUGUAGGCUAGUUUCCACCACCUUUUCAUCCUUUUGUACCCCAUUUCAGUUCAUAUGCAGAUUAACUCAAACCAAGUCCUCACUAAAUACUCUUUUUCACUUUAGUUUUGGAAGGUAGACGGGAAGAUCUAAAUAUUUAUGAGGCUUUUUUCCUCUAGUUUAUGAUGCACUCUUGUUGAAUGUUGAGGAAUUACGUUAAUGAAUGCAUGCCUGCACACACAGACACAGAAACCAGGCAAAGGGGGAAAAAAACACACAAAGCGUUGUCAGCUCUAAUGUCGGCACUUACUGAACAGUUCCCAUGAAAGAAAAAAAAAAAAAAAAGAAAAAGGAAAAAAAAAAGGAAAAGGCAUAAAGAUUUAAAAUCUGUUGCCAGGAGAAAAAUAAAGUACAGCUGAAUACAAAAGAAGGAACAAAGUUUCAUCUUUACUUUCCUCAGCUGCAAAUGUAUUUUUUUUUCAACUCAGAAUAAAUUUGAAAUAAAACAUGAUAAUUGAAAAAUGAAAGCCUGUCUAAAAAGUGUGUUAACUAGAUUUGUGCUUUCAAUAAUGAAGUUAAGAUGAAGCUUCGAUGUCGUACACGGUUUUCCUUAACAUCAACAGUAAUAAACUUGAUGCAGGUUUUUUUUCUACGAUAAAAGAUACAAGCAUAUAGCUGUGUCAGACAAGGCCCUGCUCACAGAAGUGGGACAGUAGUUCUACAGUUUUGUCUCAUAAUCAUGAAUCAGGACAUGAGAUUUUAAAAUGUGCUUUUGUGCUAUCAUUUAAAACUUACUGAAGCAAUGGCAGAAUGCGAACGCUUAGCCCUUAAAAAGUAAUAGUAUUUCACUGUCUAGGCUCUGUUUUUCAUAUUUAUAAGACGCCUGAGUUUCAUAAACCAUUACCCCUAAUAAAUAUGUUCAUGUUUUUAUUGUACUUUGUUUUGGAGAUAUUCAGUUUCAUAUGUAAUUGAAUCCAGUAAAUCCAUCUACGUUUCAUUUAUCCGAAAGCUGUUGUUUAUGUGAGCUCCAAAUAUUGACUUUGCUAUUUUCAGUAACUUUGCCUGUAAUAACAAAAGGUUGAGUAAAACAAAAAUUUUUCUUGGUGCAUCCCAAGUCACUACACUUCUAUACAAGCUAAUAAAAAGUGUUUGAGAACUGAAA